This 407-nucleotide ribosomal RNA is filed under the name Verrucomicrobiota bacterium. RNAcentral's name for it is "Verrucomicrobia bacterium partial 16S ribosomal RNA". It matches the Rfam family "Bacterial small subunit ribosomal RNA", at positions 355 to 776 of the family's 1533-position model. Lineage: Bacteria; Pseudomonadati; Verrucomicrobiota. The record is from RNAcentral.
UGGGGAAUAUUGGACAAUGGAGGAAACUCUGAUCCAGCAAUUCUGUGUGUGUGAAGAAGGUUUUAGGACUGUAAAACACUUUUAGUAGGGAAGAAAAAAAUGACGGUACCUACAGAAGAAGCAACGGCUAAAUACGUGCCAGCAGCCGCGGUAAUACGUAUGUUGCGAGCGUUAUCCGGAAUUAUUGGGCUUAAAGGGCAUCUAGGCGGUAAGACAAGUUGAAGGUGAAAACCUGUGGCGCAACCAUAGGCUUGCCUACAAAACUGUUGAACUAGAGUACUGGAAAGGUGGGUGGAACUACACGAGUAGAGGUGAAAUUCGUAGAUAUGUGUAGGAAUGCCGAUGAUGAAGAUAACUCACUGGACAGAAACUGACGCUGAAGUGCGAAAGCUAGGGGGGCAAACAGG